RNAcentral lists this ribosomal RNA (478 nucleotides) under uncultured bacterium. Its description in RNAcentral is "partial 16S ribosomal RNA". It matches the Rfam family "Bacterial small subunit ribosomal RNA", at positions 28 to 523 of the family's 1533-position model. The record is from RNAcentral.
GACGAACGCUGGCGGCGUGCUUAACACAUGCAAGUCGAACGGUAAGGCCCUUCGGGGUACACGAGCGGCGAACGGGUGAGUAACACGUGGGUGAUCUGCCCUGCACUUCGGGAUAAGCCUGGGAAACUGGGUCUAAUACCGGAUAGGACCACUGCCUGCAUGGGUGGUGGUGGAAAGCUUUUGCGGUGUGGGAUGGGCCCGCGGCCUAGCAGCUUGUUGGUGGGGUGAUGGCCUACCAAGGCGACGGCGGGUAGCCGGCCUGAGAGGGGGACCGGCCACACUGGGACUGAGAUACGGCCCAGACUCCGACGGGAGGCAGCAGGGGGGAAUAUUGCACAAGGGGCGCAAGCCUGAUGCAGCGACGCCGCGUGAGGGAUGACGGCCUUCGGGUUGUAAACCUCUUUCAGCACCGACGAAGCGCAAGUGACGGUAGGUGCAGAAGAAGGACCGGCCAACUACGUGCCAGCCGCCGCCGUAA